This 1268-nucleotide long non-coding RNA is filed under the name Panax ginseng (ginseng). RNAcentral describes it as "long non-coding RNA (PGIN_LNC005086)". Lineage: Eukaryota; Viridiplantae; Streptophyta; Magnoliopsida; Apiales; Araliaceae. The record is from RNAcentral.
CAAAUCCGGGUAUCUUCCAACCCGACAGAUGGUGCUAUACUGUAUAACAUUCAUACAUUCAUUUAAUUGAAAAGCCUCAAAGAACGAACAUAACUUCUAUAUAUUUAGAGUAAUAUUUACAUUUCCCAAGUUCUAUACCUGUUACAAAGGUUCUUUGUUAUAAUAUCAGUUAAAUUACAACAAUAGACCUAUACUAUUACAAGACAGCUUAGUAAUCUGCCUUAGCUUUUCCUUUAUCCUUUUUCGAUCCUUCGGGACGUUCAGUCUUAGCUGCAUUCAUAUGGUUCAAGCAAGAGUGAGCAUAACUAGCUCAGCAAGUAUAACAAUUUAAUAACAAUAUGCUUGACACAUACAAAUCAUAUAUCUUCAAUAACUGAACAAUAGUUAUGAAGUACUAUUAAUAAUUCAAAAUAGCACUUCAUCUUUUCUUUCAAAAUGUUUUACAAUAACAACAAUAUUUAGUAAAACAUUCACUCCGGUUAGAGACCUCGAGUAUUCAUUCUUUACUGAAAAAGGACAACUCGAAAACAAGUCCGUAAGCCUGAUAUCACUUACGAGCACUUCUAGGUGAUCAGCCUAUUGUACUUUAUGUUGAUCAACACUACAUACAUUAAAUGUAUGCACGUUUAAGCAUUUGGCAACCUUACGUGUCUGUCGUUUUACCGACAAAACAUUUGUUUAACAUUUCAGUCUUCUUUUGAAAACCAUAUCAAGUAGUUGAUAAAAGAUAGCAACAUUUAAUAAUACAUGAAUAGAUUAUCAAUUCAUCAAGUCUAGCCAAAGGAAUUGGCUUUAACUUCCAUAUACCUCAAUUCAUGCGAAAGAAUACAUGAACCUCAAAAACAUUUUCAGAUUGAACUGAGACAAGAGUUAGAAUACUUGCCUUUAGCGUCUGCUAUGGUAAAUUAACUUUAUGUUCAAGUCGUACAAGUCUCUACAAUACAUGAUCACAUAAUGCCUUAGAUUAGGUCACAUAUAAUCAAGUAUGUAUAUGACUAUAUCAUACCCUUUAUUUCAAUCUAAUUGUGUAUUAGAUUCAGUUACUAUUCGUUCCAGUUUAUCAUUACCGUUGCAUUACAUUUUGACUAGGUUAUCUUAACCUUUACAUUACAUUCCUUAAGGUUUAACAAAGUUUAAACAAUGUUAUUUUACCUUCCUUAAGUUAUGUUUACUUUUAAUCAAUUAGGUUUUCUUUUCUUUGUAAUUAGAAACCUUCAUUACUAUCUUUGUUCUGAGACUGGCGCUGCGGCGCCAGCUUUAUGCUUACA